RNAcentral lists this transfer RNA (73 nucleotides) under Chloroflexota bacterium. RNAcentral's name for it is "Chloroflexi bacterium (groundwater metagenome) tRNA-OTHER". The record is from RNAcentral. Lineage: Bacteria; Bacillati; Chloroflexota.
GCCCCUGUCUGGUGAUACAAUUGGCGGGCGAUUCCUAAACCGUUUGUCGGCGGUUCGAUUCCGCCCAGGGGUA